This is a transfer RNA of Colletotrichum incanum, 87 nucleotides long. It matches the Rfam family "tRNA". Rfam says of the family: Transfer RNA (tRNA) molecules are approximately 80 nucleotides in length. Their secondary structure includes four short double-helical elements and three loops (D, anti-codon, and T loops). The record is from Rfam. Lineage: Eukaryota; Fungi; Ascomycota; Sordariomycetes; Glomerellales; Glomerellaceae.
UCCGAUAUGGUGUAGUGGCCAACAUGAUGCCCUCUCAUCCACUUGAGAGGUUAGGCAUAGCCCCGAGUUCGAUUCUCGGUUUCGGAA